AUCCCCCUUGGGAACGCGUGUUCCGCCCGCGGACCUGGCUUCCGCGGGCAGCUGACGCGAAUCUUGUCUUCUCAGGACCCGCGGGGGCUUUGGCUUCUGGAACACAUGGGGCUGAGUCCAUGCUGACAGCGCGGGGGCUUCGGGACAACACAGGGUCGAGUCCACGCUAAUGGGAGCCAAGUCUCCUCAGGAGUUGCUGAGGCUUCGGCUUUGGGACGUUGUGGAGUCCAGUUCACGCUGACGGGAGCCCCGUCUCCUCAGGACCGGCGGGGCGGUGAUGCGGCUGACGGAAAAGAAAGAUAUCAAGAAACCAUGAACAACUUUAGUAAUGAAGAGUUUGACUGCCAUUUCUUGGAUGAAGGCUUUACUGCCAAGGACAUCCGGGACCAAAAAAUGAAGUUUCUUCUUUUGACGGUUGCUGUUUCAGCAUUUCAAGGUCCUAUAGCCUGUUGGUGUUGUGGGAAGAGGUGAAGGAGCUGUGCUGACGGCACUGAGGCAUAUUUUCAAGAUCCCAAUGUGAUUCCUCAACAUCAUAUCGAUGAGAAAACGACCCAGAGCAGGAGGAAGGAGAGGAGGAAAUGGCAGCUUCUCAGGUAACUGUCCUGUCCUGGGUCAGAGGCUCUGUCUGCUUUUCCUUCUGAAAUGUCAUGGAUUAAGAACCUACAAAUCUUUAACUCUCUACUUCUUAUGUGCCUAGCAAGGUCAUUUUCAACUACUUACUUUUUUCCUUCUUGUGAUAGUCAAAGUCAGCACUUUAGAAUACUUCUACCCUGCGUUCCAGAGCCCUUACCCCACUGUCUGCAUCCAGGCUCCCUACAGAGCAUGGAGAAUGACAUCCAACUAUUGAAAUGAUUCCCUUUGUGGAAGAUCUACAUGGGAAGGCAUUAAUAUCCAAAAUUCCCUAAGAGAUAAUUUUGGAUGAUGAGCUAUUAGUGAAGAAGGGGGGCUUCCCUGGUGGCGCAGUGGUUGAGAGUCCGCCUGCUGAUGCAGGGGACACGGCUUCGUGCCCCGUUCCGGGAGGAUCCCACAUGCCGCGGAGCGGCUGGGCCCGUGAGC
This is a long non-coding RNA of Orcinus orca (killer whale), 1056 nucleotides long. RefSeq lists it as uncharacterized. Lineage: Eukaryota; Metazoa; Chordata; Mammalia; Artiodactyla; Delphinidae. The record is from RefSeq and is a predicted model, not a curated record. The transcript is spliced from 3 exons.